AGCGAACGCUGGCGGCAGGCCUAACACAUGCAAGUCGAACGAACCUUUCGGGGUUAGUGGCGGACGGGUGAGUAACACGUGGGAACGUGCCUUUAGGUUCGGAAUAACUCAGGGAAACUUGUGCUAAUACCGAAUGUGCCCUUCGGGGGGAAGAUUUAUCGCCUUUAGAGCGGCCCGCGUCUGAUUAGCUAGUUGGGUGAGGUAAUGGCUCACCAAGGCGACGAUCAGUAGCUGGUCUGAGAGGAUGAUCAGCCACAUUGGGACUGAGACACGGCCCAAACUCCUACGGGAGGCAGCAGUGGGGAAUCUUGCGAAAUGGGCGAAAGCCUGACGCAGCCAUGCCGGGUGAAUGAUGAAGGUAUUAGGAUUGUAAAAUUCUUUCAACGGGGACGAUAAUGACGGUACCCGGAGAAGAAGCCCCGGCUAACUUCGUG
This 434-nucleotide ribosomal RNA is filed under the name uncultured bacterium. RNAcentral describes it as "partial 16S ribosomal RNA". It matches the Rfam family "Bacterial small subunit ribosomal RNA", at positions 29 to 507 of the family's 1533-position model. The record is from RNAcentral.